RNAcentral lists this ribosomal RNA (449 nucleotides) under uncultured bacterium. RNAcentral's name for it is "partial 16S ribosomal RNA". It matches the Rfam family "Bacterial small subunit ribosomal RNA", at positions 354 to 796 of the family's 1533-position model. The record is from RNAcentral.
GUAGGGAAUCUUCCGCAAUGGACGCAAGUCUGACGGAGCAACGCCGCGUGAGUGACGAAGGUUUUCGGAUCGUAAAACUCUGUUGUGAGGGAAGAACACGUACCAACUAACUAUUGGUACCUUGACGGUACCUCACCAGAAAGCCACGGCUAACUACGUGCCAGCAGCCGCGGUAAUACGUAGGUGGCAAGCGUUGUCCGGAAUUAUUGGGCGUAAAGCGCGCGCAGGCGGUUCCUUAAGUCUGAUGUGAAAGCCCACGGCUCAACCGUGGAGGGUCAUUGGAAACUGGGGAACUUGAGUGCAGAAGAGGAAAGUGGAAUUCCACGUGUAGCGGUGAAAUGCGUAGAGAUGUGGAGGAACACCAGUGGCGAAGGCGACUUUCUGGUCUGUAACUGACGCUGAGGCGCGAAAGCGUGGGGAGCAAACAGGAUUAGAAACCCCUGUAGUCC